Molecule: long non-coding RNA, 760 nt
Filed under: Elaeis guineensis (African oil palm)
Lineage: Eukaryota; Viridiplantae; Streptophyta; Magnoliopsida; Arecales; Arecaceae
Description: long non-coding RNA (EGUI_LNC074117)
Source: RNAcentral
GGUUUAGAGGGAUCAAACGAGACUAAAAAUGGAGUUAAAAUAGAUUUAAAUUCAAAACCGAAAGAUAAUCCGAUCUAAUACGCAAGUUGGUGGUCCACCAUGGACCAUUUGGUCCAUAAGAAAGUUAUAAGCCAUGAAAUGCCACAAUAAUUUUCACAUGGCUCAGCUCUGGCGGGAUGUAUGGAAUUCAAAUCAAAAUAGGACAUCUGAGGGGUUUGUGAAACAAACAGUUUGGAUUCAAAUGGGCUUAAGAGGAGACUUUGGGUGAGCUUUGGCACGCGAGCGUGAGAUAGAACUUGGACUUGGCAUGUACACGAAAGCUAAUCUUGAUGGUGCGAGAAUACAGAAGAAAUUCAAAUUCAGCAAUAGGAGGCGGCAUACACGGAUUUUUUAAAUUUGACUUCGUUUGGGUCGCUAACUGCAACGAAGAGAGAGAUUUUUAAAAUUUUAAAAUAAAGCAACCACUUCUAUAUUUUCUAUUUAACCAACUGCCUAUCCAUCCAUCCAUACUUUUCAAAUUAAAUCCUAACCGUUCAUCUAUCUUCUCUUUUUAGUCCCACAUUGAAAAAAUAUAAAAUCCUCCUCCCUGCCUACAUCUAUAAAUAAAGCCUAAUACCUCCAUUCAUAGUAUCUCUCUCCACUCUAUAAUUUUUGUAGGGGGUCUGUGUGACAGGCAGACAUACCCACUUUUAAAAUUUUUUAGCCACCUUGUUCUCACUUUCUUCCACCCUUCCAACACACGAGAAGGAGAGUCAGCCAG